UGGGGAAUAUUGGACAAUGGGCGAAAGCCUGACCCAGCAACGCCGCGUGUGGGAUGAAGGCCCUCGGGUCGUAAACCACUGUCAGGAGGAAAGAAAAGUCGGCCGGAUAAUACUCGGUCGACCUGACGGUACCUCCAAAGGAAGCACCGGCUAACUCCGUGCCAGCAGCCGCGGUAAUACGGAGGGUGCAAGCGUUGUUCGGAAUUACUGGGCGUAAAGCGCGUGUAGGUGGUCGAGUAAGUCGAAUGUGAAAGCCCCGGGCUCAACCCGGGAAGUGCAUCCGAAACUGCUCGACUAGAGUCCCGGAGAGGAAGGCAGAAUUCCCAAUGUAGGGGUGAAAUCCGUAGAUAUUGGGAGGAAUACCGGUGGCGAAGGCGGCCUUCUGGACGGUGACUGACACUCAGACGCGAAAGCGUGGGGAGCAAACAGGAUUAGAUACCCAAGUAGUCCCUGAGCGGGCUGGCAAGGCGCAU
RNAcentral lists this ribosomal RNA (473 nucleotides) under uncultured bacterium. Its description in RNAcentral is "bacterial SSU rRNA". It matches the Rfam family "Bacterial small subunit ribosomal RNA", at positions 355 to 825 of the family's 1533-position model. The record is from RNAcentral.